GAUGAACGCUGGCGGCGUGCCUAAUACAUGCAAGUCGGGCGAACGGACGAGAAGCUUGCUUCUCUGAUGUUAGCGGCGGACGGGUGAGUAACACGUGGAUAACCUACCUAUAAGACUGGGAUAACUUCGGGAAACCGGAGCUAAUACCGGAUGAUAUUUUGAACCGCAUGGUUCAAAAGUGAAAGACGGUCUUGCUGUCACUUAUAGAUGGAUCCGCGCUGCAUUAGCUAGUUGGUAAGGUAACGGCUUACCAAGGCAACGAUGCAUAGCCGACCUGAGAGGGUGAUCGGCCACACUGGAGCUGAGACACGGUCCAGACUCCUACGGGAGGCAGCAGUAGGGAAUCUUCCGCAAUGGGCGAAAGCCUGACGGAGCAACGCCGCGUGAGUGAUGAAGGUCUUCGGAUCGUAAAACUCUGUUAUUAGGGAAGAACAUAUGUGUAAGUAACUGUGCACAUCUUGACGGUACCUAAUCAGAAAGCCACGGCUAACUACGUG
RNAcentral lists this ribosomal RNA (497 nucleotides) under uncultured bacterium. RNAcentral describes it as "partial 16S ribosomal RNA". It matches the Rfam family "Bacterial small subunit ribosomal RNA", at positions 28 to 507 of the family's 1533-position model. The record is from RNAcentral.